Molecule: ribosomal RNA, 262 nt
Filed under: uncultured bacterium
Lineage: Bacteria
Description: partial 16S ribosomal RNA
Rfam family: Bacterial small subunit ribosomal RNA
Source: RNAcentral
UUGGCGAACGGGUGAGUAACGCGUGAGUAACCUGCCCUGGAGUGGGGGACAACAGUUGGAGACGACUGCUAAUACCGCAUAAGCCCACGGAUCCGCAUGGAUCUGCGGGAAAAGGAUUUAUUCGCUUCAGGAUGGACUCGCGUCCAAUUAGCUAGUUGGUGAGGUAACGGCCCACCAAGGCGACGAUUGGUAGCCGGACUGAGGGGUUGAACGGCCACAUUGGGACUGAGAUACGGCCCAGACUCCUACGGGAGGCAGCAUG